RNAcentral lists this ribosomal RNA (305 nucleotides) under uncultured bacterium. RNAcentral describes it as "partial 16S ribosomal RNA". It matches the Rfam family "Bacterial small subunit ribosomal RNA", at positions 505 to 807 of the family's 1533-position model. The record is from RNAcentral.
ACAGCAGCAGCCGCGGUAAUACGUAGGGUGCGAGCGUUAAUCGGAAUUACAGGGCGUAAAGCGAGCGCAGACGGUUAUUUAAGCAGGAUGUGAAAUCCCCGGGCUUAACCUGGGAACUGCGUUCUGAACUGGAUAGCUAGAGUGUGUCAGAGGGGGGUAGAAUUCCACGUGUAGCAGUGAAAUGCGUAGAGAUGUGGAGGAAUACCGAUGGCGAAGGCAGCCCCCUGGGAUAACACUGACGUUCAUGCUCGAAAGCGUGGGUAGCAAACAGGAUUAGAUACCCGCGUAGUCCCUGUCUCUUAUAC